Molecule: non-coding RNA, 90 nt
Organism: Lyophyllum atratum
Lineage: Eukaryota; Fungi; Basidiomycota; Agaricomycetes; Agaricales; Lyophyllaceae
Source: the annotation of a GenBank genome assembly
UCCCUCUUAGCUCAGUGGUAGAGCGCGUCACUAGUAUCGAGAGAAACCAUAACUAUGACGAGGUCAGUCGUUCAAGUCGGCUAGAGGGAA